RNAcentral lists this long non-coding RNA (1507 nucleotides) under Anser brachyrhynchus (Pink-footed goose). RNAcentral's name for it is "lncRNA (ENSABRG00000006705.1)". Lineage: Eukaryota; Metazoa; Chordata; Aves; Anseriformes; Anatidae. The record is from RNAcentral.
GCUUGGUAGAGGGCUGUGCACACAGGGGUCUGCUCAGCUGUGGAGGGGAGCUUCAUUUCCAAAGGAUUCAUUCAAUACCCCUCUAGUAAACAGGAAGAUGUCUGAUGAUUUUUGCAUCCUUUAACAAGUUUUCAGUGUCUCCUUGUUCCUGACGUUAGAACAAUUUUCGUUGGUGUUCCCUUUGCUGCUAUUAGCUUAAAGCCUUUCUUUCUCGCUCUCCCUGUAAAAAAAUCAGGUUUUGCUGUGUAAAGCACAACUUCAGACUUCCUCUCCUUUAUCUAUAAGGCAAACACGAAGCACUAGGAAGAAUGAGGCUCCUAUUUCCCCACCUGUGAAAGUUUAGUGAACUUGACUGCUGGUGGCUGGCCUGAAAAAGUGAGGGUGUCUGGGUGCGGGUGCAGGGAAAUGAUGGGAUGAGGCCCAUGUGCACGGCAUGAAUGUGAGCGUCUUGCCUGAGGAGCUUAUAAAGGCUUCUCCUGGGGUGGGUGGGUUGCUGAAGGUGUGGGCCUUGCUCAUGAGGGGUGUGGGGGUGUCAGGAGUUGGCUGUGUGUUGCACAUACUGAGGUUAGCUUCUCUGGGGAGUGUUAAUCACAGUCAUCUCGUGUUCCUGUGCAGCUUGAGCUGGAUAUCAGCCAAGCUCAAACUGAACCACUUCGGGCUUUGGGAAAAUGUAAAGUGAGCACAUGCAUUCAUUAAGGAAGAACAGCCUUUCCUCGGGAAGAAAGGGACCUGGAGCACAUGGUGUUAAAUAUCUGACCUGAAUAGAUGUAAAUGUCAAGUCUACCUCAUGCUCUCCUCAAGUCAGAAGUUUAAUGCAAGGUGAUGCCAUUUAUAGAUUUUUUUAAAAAUUGUAUCACUACUGUAUAUAGCUGUCAUUAUGCACAUCGGUCAUAUAUUCUUGACUUCACACCAUGCAAAAAGCAGCCUUUUUAGGGAGGAAUACGGGGGUACUUUGAGAGGGAGCAGCAGGAGUGGGGCUGCUCCAUGAAGGACGGCAGUCCAGAAGCCAAGGGUGGCCAUGCACAGGUAGGGGCAGUGACCUUAUCCAUGAGGGCACAACCCCACAGCACCAUUCAGAACAGGGCUGAGGACAGUGGCAUGUCCUGUUAACAGCCCGGUGAUCAUCAGAGAAAUAAGGUGAUGGGCUGGGUCUCAGGUCAAGCCAGGAAGUCCAGUUAUCCAGCCAGGAUCAGAGCUGAGCAGACACCGGUUUGCCUGCAGCACGGCUCGGGUGAGGACUGUUGUAGAGGCCCCAUCCAAGGCUGCUCAGGGUGUUUAGGGACUGCUGGUACUCUCAGGGCCAUGAGUAUAUGUGGCAAUAACAGAGGCCAGGAAGACUAUUUCCUGAUCAGGUAGUGGGGUCGUCAGCUGGCAUCAGUUUUGCUUUGGUAGCAUCAUACAGCUAAUGUGCGGGACUGAACUAUUGAUGCUCACAAAAAAUACUUGUGGCAACAGAUUUGUAAGUACAUUUAAUAAAUGAAGGGAGAAAUAAUUAAAAUGAGCGUAU